Pneumocystis jirovecii is the source of this 73-nucleotide transfer RNA. It matches the Rfam family "tRNA". Rfam says of the family: Transfer RNA (tRNA) molecules are approximately 80 nucleotides in length. Their secondary structure includes four short double-helical elements and three loops (D, anti-codon, and T loops). NCBI's taxonomy places the organism in Eukaryota, Fungi, Ascomycota, Pneumocystomycetes, Pneumocystales, Pneumocystaceae. The record is from Rfam.
GCACGUAUGAUGUAGUGGUUAUCAUAUUCGCUUCACACGCGAGAGGUCCUCGGUUCGAUCCCGAGUACGUGCA